GCAAAGGUAGCAUAGUCAUUAGUUCUUUAAUUGUGAUCUGGUAUGAAUGGCUUGACGAGGCAUGGGCUGUCUUAAUUUUUAAUUGUUUAUUGAAUUUGGUCUUUGAGUUAAAAUUCUUAGAUGUUUUUAUGGGACGAGAAGACCCUAUAGAGUUUAACAUUUGUUAUGGUCCCCUUUCUGUUUGUGAGGGUUCAUUGGGCCGUUUAAUAUGUUUUGUUGGGGUGAUGGGAGGGAUUAAUUUAACCCCUCCUUUUUAUUAUUAUAUUUAUUUAUAUUUACUUGAUCCAUUUAUUUUGAUUGUAAGAUUAAAUUACCUUAGGGAUAACAGCGUUAUCUUCCUUGAGAGUUCUUAUCGGCAGGGGGGUUUGCG
This 370-nucleotide ribosomal RNA is filed under the name Reticulitermes kanmonensis. RNAcentral describes it as "partial 16S ribosomal RNA". It matches the Rfam family "Archaeal large subunit ribosomal RNA", at positions 2027 to 2591 of the family's 2987-position model. Lineage: Eukaryota; Metazoa; Arthropoda; Insecta; Blattodea; Rhinotermitidae. The record is from RNAcentral.